This 276-nucleotide ribosomal RNA is filed under the name uncultured bacterium. RNAcentral's name for it is "partial 16S ribosomal RNA". It matches the Rfam family "Bacterial small subunit ribosomal RNA", at positions 44 to 334 of the family's 1533-position model. The record is from RNAcentral.
GUGCCUAACACAUGCAAGUCGAACGAGAAAGUGGAGCAAUCCAUGAGUACAGUGGCGACCGGGUGAGUAACACGUGACUAACCUACCCUCGAGUGGGGAAUAACUCCGGGAAACCGGAGCUAAUACCGCAUAACAUCGCAAGAUCAAAGCAGCAAUGCGCUUGAGGAGGGGGUCGCGGCUGAUUAGCUAGUUGGCGGGGUAACGGCCCACCAAGGCGAAGAUCGGUAUCCGGCCUGAGAGGGCGCACGGACACACUGGAACUGAAACACGGUCCAG